UACGAAGGGUGCAAGCGUUACUCGGAAUUACUGGGCGUAAAGCGUGCGUAGGUGGUUUGUUAAGUCUGAUGUGAAAGCCCUGGGCUCAACCUGGGAAUUGCAUUGGAUACUGGCAGGCUAGAGUGCGGUAGAGGAUGGCGGAAUUCCCGGUGUAGCAGUGAAAUGCGUAGAGAUCGGGAGGAACAUCUGUGGCGAAGGCGGCCACCUGGACCAGCACUGACACUGAGGCACGAAAGCGUGGGGAGCAAACAGG
RNAcentral lists this ribosomal RNA (253 nucleotides) under uncultured bacterium. Its description in RNAcentral is "partial 16S ribosomal RNA". It matches the Rfam family "Bacterial small subunit ribosomal RNA", at positions 524 to 776 of the family's 1533-position model. The record is from RNAcentral.